UAGCUUAGUGGUAGAGGUCUUGCUUAGCAUGCAUGAGGCCCUGGGUUCAAUUCCCAG
Molecule: transfer RNA, 57 nt
Filed under: Neotoma lepida (desert woodrat)
Lineage: Eukaryota; Metazoa; Chordata; Mammalia; Rodentia; Cricetidae
Rfam family: tRNA
About the family: Transfer RNA (tRNA) molecules are approximately 80 nucleotides in length. Their secondary structure includes four short double-helical elements and three loops (D, anti-codon, and T loops).
Source: Rfam by way of RNAcentral